GACGAACGCUGGCGGCGUGCCUAAUACAUGCAAGUAGAACGCUGAAGAGAGGAGCUUGCUCUUCUUGAAUGAGUUGCGAACGGGUGAGUAACGCGUAGGUAACCUGCCUUAUAGCGGGGGAUAACUAUUGGAAACGAUAGCUAAUACCGCAUAACAAUGGGUGACACAUGUCAUUUAUUUGAAAGGGGCAAUUGCUCCACUACAAGAUGGACCUGCGUUGUAUUAGCUAGUAGGUGAGGUAACGGCUCACCUAGGCGACGAUACAUAGCCGACCUGAGAGGGUGAUCGGCCACACUGGGACUGAGACACGGCCCAGACUCCUACGGGAGGCAGCAGUAGGGAAUCUUCGGCAAUGGGGGCAACCCUGACCGAGCAACGCCGCGUGAGUGAAGAAGGUUUUCGGAUCGUAAAGCUCUGUUGUAAGUCAAGAACGAGUGUGAGAGUGGAAAGUUCACACUGUGACG
This 464-nucleotide ribosomal RNA is filed under the name Streptococcus vestibularis. Its description in RNAcentral is "bacterial SSU rRNA". It matches the Rfam family "Bacterial small subunit ribosomal RNA", at positions 28 to 474 of the family's 1533-position model. The record is from RNAcentral. Lineage: Bacteria; Bacillati; Bacillota; Bacilli; Lactobacillales; Streptococcaceae.